CAGCAGCCACGGGAAUACGUAGGGUGCAAGCGUUAAUCGGAAUUACUGGGCGUAAAGAGUGCGCAGGCGGUUUGUUAAGACAGAUGUGAAAUCCCCGGGCUUAACCUGGGAACUGCAUUUGUGACUGGCAAGCUAGAGUAUGGCAGAGGGGGGUGGAAUUCCGCGUGUAGCAGUGAAAUGCGUAGAUAUGCGGAGGAACACCGAUGGCGAAGGCAGCCCCCUGGGCCAAUACUGACGCUCAUGCACGAAAGCGUGGGGAGCAAACAGGAUUAGAUACCCCAGUAGUCCCUGUCUCUUAUAC
This 301-nucleotide ribosomal RNA is filed under the name uncultured bacterium. Its description in RNAcentral is "partial 16S ribosomal RNA". It matches the Rfam family "Bacterial small subunit ribosomal RNA", at positions 509 to 807 of the family's 1533-position model. The record is from RNAcentral.